Molecule: ribosomal RNA, 429 nt
Filed under: uncultured bacterium
Lineage: Bacteria
Description: bacterial SSU rRNA
Rfam family: Bacterial small subunit ribosomal RNA
Source: RNAcentral
UGAGGAAUCUUGCGCAAUGGGGGAAACCCUGACGCAGCAACGCCGCGUGAGUGAGGAAGGUCUUCGGAUCGUAAAGCUCUGUCAGUUGGAAAGAAAUGUCUGAGAGUCAAUCCCUUUCAGGCUUGACGGUACCAACAGAGGAAGCACCGGCUAACUCCGUGCCAGCAGCCGCGGUAAUACGGGGGGUGCAAGCGAUGUUCGGAAUUAUUGGGCGUAAAGAGCGUGUAGGCGGCCGGAUAUGUCAGAUGUGAAAGCCCCGGGCUUAACCCGGGAAGUGCAUUUGAAACUGUCCGGCUCGAGUAGGGGAGAGGGAAGUGGAACUCCUGGUGUAGAGGUGAAAUUCGUAGAUAUCAGGAGGAACACCGGUGGCGAAGGCGACUUCCUGGCCCUAUACUGACGCUGAGACGCGAGAGCGUGGGUAGCAAACAG